GGGCGCAAGCCUGAUGCAGCCAUGCCGCGUGUGUGAAGAAGGCCUUCGGGUUGUAAAGCACUUUCAGUCGUGAGGAAGGUAGUGUAGUUAAUAGCUGCAUUAUUUGACGUUAGCGACAGAAGAAGCACCGGCUAACUCCGUGCCAGCAGCCGCGGUAAUACGGAGGGUGCGAGCGUUAAUCGGAAUUACUGGGCGUAAAGCGCAUGCAGGUGGUUUGUUAAGUCAGAUGUGAAAGCCCGGGGCUCAACCUCGGAAUUGCAUUUGAAACUGGCAGACUAGAGUACUGUAGAGGGGGGUAGAAUUUCAGGUGUAGCGGUGAAAUGCGUAGAGAUCUGAAGGAAUACCGGUGGCGAAGGCGGCCCCCUGGACAGAUACUGACACUCAGAUGCGAAAGCGUGGGGAGCAAACAGGAUUAGAUACCCUGGUAGUCCACGCCGUAAACGAUGUCUACUUGGAGGUUGUGGCCUUGAGCCGUGGCUUUCG
RNAcentral lists this ribosomal RNA (483 nucleotides) under Vibrio parahaemolyticus. Its description in RNAcentral is "bacterial SSU rRNA". It matches the Rfam family "Bacterial small subunit ribosomal RNA", at positions 373 to 848 of the family's 1533-position model. Lineage: Bacteria; Pseudomonadati; Pseudomonadota; Gammaproteobacteria; Vibrionales; Vibrionaceae. The record is from RNAcentral.